GUGACGUUUCAGUAGAUUUUACGUUUUCAAGGUAAUUCUUCAUCUGUUGAUAUAUACUGUGAACGUUUUGCAUAUAUUUAAAUAUAUUUACCUAUUGUUGAAAAUCGAAUAUUUAUAUAUCAUAAAAUAAACAAAAUUUUCGUUUACAUCAUGAACAUUACAUUAGAAUACAGAUGAACUUGUGAAACGUGAAAAGUUGUGUUAAAGCAUGAGAAGACAUGAUUAUAAAGAUAACUAGAUUUGCCAUUGCAAGCAAUAGCGGAGGAUGUCACCCCGUUCUUGACAUUGUCACAGUAGCAGCAACCAGUUUGAGUGUAUCAAAGUCACAUGGCACGUCUAGUAUACAUGCCUUUGACCCCCCCCCUUUUUUCUCUUCUCGUAGACUAAGAGUGAUGUCUAUUUAUAGUUGGGGAACUCUUUAAAAUCUUAAAUUAGACACACGCUUGAGGAAGAAAGUUGCUGUCACGUGAUACUGAAGUAUAUUAUCGUGGAGUUAGUACAUUACUAUUCUUUUUAGAGGGGACCUUGGACAGACAACAUGUGUAUAUAUUGACGGAGCGGCAUACUAACUGUUCAUUUUAUUCUUCAAUAUCUCGCGUAUCACACGAUACAAGUAUUUUAUCUUGUACAAUUUAAUUACACGCUUAUCGAUUGAUUUCAGCUAAUGUGUAUAUUUUUGCAGGUGUUCGAUUAACGGAUGUGUACUUUAAUGCAAGUGCAGAAAUGUCAAUUAUGUGUACUCUUCAUGUCUCUCUCUCUCUCUCUCUCUCUCAGUGGCGAUUUUCUCUUCAGAGCACGAUUUUUGUAUAGAAUAGAAAGAAGCACGUUAAAUUAUAUAUUCGUUUUCUUCUAGCAUAUUCUAGAAGAUGUUUUGCACAUAGUCUUCAUCACAGAAUUUUGUCUCAAAUUUUCGAGUUUUUUUUUUUUUUUUUUUUUUUUUUUUUUUUUUAAGGCUGUUUCCAUGGCAACGGCGGCCAUUUUGAAAAUUUCGAAGACAGAUGACAAUACAAUAGCAUUUAAACGGGAAUGAGCUUAAAAUUUGUACGAAAAUGUUACUUUGACGUUUUUUACCAUAUGGGUCCAAUGUGCACUUUUAGCGUUAUCUCCAUGGUAACAGCAGCUAUCUUAAAAAUUCCAACGGCAAUGAAUUCUACAGUUUAUACUGCUGUUUUCUACUUACGGUUUUUUUUGCCGUAUCUGUAGCGGUUUAUUUUCUAUGAAUUAAUUAAGGAUUUAUUUUCGUUUUUUUUCACGUUUGGACCGUUUCCAUGACAACGGUAGCCAUUUUAAAAGUUCUUAAGAUGGAUGUCACGCCUUCUAACGAUGAGUUAUUAGUUCUGAAAGUUUCAUUGAAUUUGGACCAUUUUUCGGUUUUUUACAUUUUUGCCGUUUCCAUGGAAACGGCGGCCAUCUUGAACCAUUCCAUGCUUACUGCAACUUUGCACAUGGGGAUUGUCAUUAUGGUGCAGUUUUAUAAAUAUAUGUCAAGGCAUCUCCGAGAAAUCGGCUGGACAAAAAGUGUGGAAGAAAAAAUUCGUAGAAUAACAAUAUAUCCCCCCUUUUUCAAAGGGGUGACAUAAAUAUAGUUUAAGAAUUUGGCGUUUCAGAAAUUUUCAAAAUUUAUGGAUUUUGACAUUCAUUAUUGCAUCCCUGCUGAAGUUAUAAAAAUGAAACAAAAUGUACGCC
Molecule: long non-coding RNA, 1686 nt
Filed under: Mytilus galloprovincialis (Mediterranean mussel)
Lineage: Eukaryota; Metazoa; Mollusca; Bivalvia; Mytilida; Mytilidae
Source: RNAcentral